Molecule: small nucleolar RNA, 84 nt
Organism: Penicillium brasilianum
Lineage: Eukaryota; Fungi; Ascomycota; Eurotiomycetes; Eurotiales; Aspergillaceae
Rfam family: A. fimigatus snoRNA Afu_199
Source: Rfam
UCAAAUGACGAGAAAAUUUGAUUAGCUCUAGAUCAGUAGUCACUCUUUUGUGGCGGUGACGGAUUAACAUGUAUUAUCCGAUGA